GACAGAGGGUGCAAACGUUGUUCGGAAUUACUGGGCGCAAAGCGCGUGUAGGCGGUUCGUAAAGUCGGAUGUGAAAGCCCUGGGCUUAACCCAGGAAGUGCAUUCGAAACUCACGAACUUGAGUCCCGGAGAGGAAGGCGGAAUUCUCGGUGUAGAGGUGAAAUUCGUAGAUAUCGAGAGGAACAUCUGUGGCGAAGGCGGCCUUCUGGACGGUGACUGACGCUGAGACGCGAAAGCGUGGGGAGCAAACAGG
This 253-nucleotide ribosomal RNA is filed under the name uncultured bacterium. Its description in RNAcentral is "partial 16S ribosomal RNA". It matches the Rfam family "Bacterial small subunit ribosomal RNA", at positions 524 to 776 of the family's 1533-position model. The record is from RNAcentral.